RNAcentral lists this ribosomal RNA (253 nucleotides) under uncultured bacterium. RNAcentral's name for it is "partial 16S ribosomal RNA". It matches the Rfam family "Bacterial small subunit ribosomal RNA", at positions 524 to 776 of the family's 1533-position model. The record is from RNAcentral.
UACGGAGGGGGCUAGCGUUGUUCGGAAUUACUGGGCGUAAAGCGCACGUAGGUGGCUUGUUAAGUCGGGUGUGAAAUCCCUGGGCUCAACCCAGGAAGUGCACUCGAAACUGGCGAGCUUGAGUACUGAAGAGGGUCGCGGAAUUCCCGGUGUAGAGGUGAAAUUCGUAGAUAUCGGGAGGAACACCAGUGGCGAAGGCGGCGACCUGGGCAGAUACUGACACUGAGGUGCGAAAGCGUGGGGAGCAAACAGG